GGGGAGUACGGUCGCAAGAUUAAAACUCAAAGGAAUUGACGGGGACCCGCACAAGCGGUGGAUGAUGUGGAUUAAUUCGAUGCAACGCGAAGANCCUUACCUGGUCUUGACAUGUACGGAACCCUCCAGAGACGGAGGGGUGCNUUCGGGAGCCGUAACACAGGUGCUGCAUGGCUGUCGUCAGCUCGUGUCGUGAGAUGUUGGGUUAAGUCCCGCAACGAGCGCAACCCUUGUCAUUAGUUGCCAUCAUUAAGUUGGGCACUCUAAUGAGGCUGCCGGUGACAAGCCGGAGGAAGGUGGGGAUGACGUCAAGUCCUCAUGGCCCUUAUGACCAGGGCUUCACACGUCAUACAAUGGUCGGUACAGAGGGUAGCCAAGCCGCGAGGUGGAGCCAAUCUCACAAAACCGAUCGUAGUCCGGAUUGCACUCUGCAACUCGAGUGCAUGAAGUCGGAAUCGCUAGUAAUCGCAGGUCAGCAUACUGCGGUGAAUGCGUUCCCGGGUCUUGUACACACCGCCCGUCACACCAUGGGAGUGGGGGAUACCAGAAGUAGGUAGGGUAACCGCAAGGAGCCCGC
RNAcentral lists this ribosomal RNA (577 nucleotides) under uncultured bacterium. Its description in RNAcentral is "bacterial SSU rRNA". It matches the Rfam family "Bacterial small subunit ribosomal RNA", at positions 875 to 1453 of the family's 1533-position model. The record is from RNAcentral.